UCGAGGAUCAUGCACAAUGGGGGAAACCCUGAUGCUGCGACGCCGCGUGGAGGAUGAAGGUCUUCGGAUUGUAAACUCCUGUCAUCAAUGAGUAUGCCAUCGCCGGUGAACAUCCUGCGGUGGUGACAGUAAUUGAAGAGGAAGGGACGGCUAACUUCGUGCCAGCAGCCGCGGUAAUACGAAGGUCCCAAGCGUUGUUCGGAAUCACUGGGCGUAAAGGGUGCGUAGGCGGUGAGGAAAGUCAGAUGUGAAAGCCCCGGGCUCAACCUGGGAACGGCAUCCGAUACUCCCUCACUAGAGGAUUGGAGAGGAGUCUGGAAUUCACGGUGUAGCAGUGAAAUGCGUAGAUAUCGUGAGGAACACUCGUGGCGAAAGCGAGACUCUGGACAAUUCCUGACGC
RNAcentral lists this ribosomal RNA (400 nucleotides) under uncultured bacterium. RNAcentral's name for it is "bacterial SSU rRNA". It matches the Rfam family "Bacterial small subunit ribosomal RNA", at positions 355 to 746 of the family's 1533-position model. The record is from RNAcentral.